Molecule: ribosomal RNA, 366 nt
Filed under: uncultured Fusobacterium sp.
Lineage: Bacteria; Fusobacteriati; Fusobacteriota; Fusobacteriia; Fusobacteriales; Fusobacteriaceae
Description: bacterial SSU rRNA
Rfam family: Bacterial small subunit ribosomal RNA
Source: RNAcentral
GUAUGUCACGAGCGUUAUCCGGAUUUAUUGGGCGUAAAGCGCGUCUAGGUGGUUAUGUAAGUCUGAUGUGAAAAUGCAGGGCUCAACUCUGUAUUGCGUUGGAAACUGUAUAACUAGAGUACUGGAGAGGUAAGCGGAACUACAAGUGUAGAGGUGAAAUUCGUAGAUAUUUGUAGGAAUGCCGAUGGGGAAGCCAGCUUACUGGACAGAUACUGACGCUGAAGCGCGAAAGCGUGGGUAGCAAACAGGAUUAGAUACCCUGGUAGUCCACGCCGUAAACGAUGAUUACUAGGUGUUGGGGGUCGAACCUCAGCGCCCAAGCAAACGCGAUAAGUAAUCCGCCUGGGGAGUACGUACGCAAGUAUG